RNAcentral lists this ribosomal RNA (1065 nucleotides) under unidentified rumen bacterium 30-5. RNAcentral's name for it is "bacterial SSU rRNA". It matches the Rfam family "Bacterial small subunit ribosomal RNA", at positions 8 to 1064 of the family's 1533-position model. The record is from RNAcentral. Lineage: Bacteria; Pseudomonadati; Bacteroidota; Bacteroidia; Bacteroidales; Bacteroidaceae.
AGAGUUUGAUCCUGGCUCAGGAUGAACGCUAGCUACAGGCUUAACACAUGCAAGUCGAGGGGUAACGACAGCGAAAGCUUGCUUUUGCUGGGCGACGACCGGCGCACGGGUGAGUAACGCGUAUCCAACCUGCCCAUAACUAAGGGAUAAUCCGUAGAAAUGCGGUCUAAUACCUUAUGUGUUCCGACGAGGACAUCUGAAUUGGAAUAAAGAUUUAUCGGUUAUGGAUGGGGAUGCGUCUGAUUAGAUUGUUGGCGGGGCAACGGCCCACCAAGUCUACGAUCAGUAGGGGUUCUGAGAGGAAGGUCCCCCACAUUGGAACUGAGACACGGUCCAAACUCCUACGGGAGGCAGCAGUGAGGAAUAUUGGUCAAUGGGCGAGAGCCUGAACCAGCCAAGUAGCGUGCAGGAUGACGGCCCUAUGGGUUGUAAACUGCUUUUGUAUGGGGAUAAAGUGCUCCACGUGUGGAGUUUUGUAGGUACCAUACGAAUAAGGACCGGCUAAUUCCGUGCCAGCAGCCGCGGUAAUACGGAAGGUCCGGGCGUUAUCCGGAUUUAUUGGGUUUAAAGGGAGCGUAGGCCGUGGAUUAAGUGUGUUGUGAAAUGUAGGCGCUCAACGUCUGACUUGCAGCGCAUACAUGGUUCACUUGAGUGCGCGCAACGCGGGCGGAAUUUGUCGUGUAGCGGUGAAAUGCUUAGAUAUGACGAAGAACCCCGAUUGCGAAGGCAGCUCGCGGGAGCGCAACUGACGCUGAAGCUCGAAAGUGCGGGUAUCGAACAGGAUUAGAUACCCUGGUAGUCCGCACGGUAAACGAUGGAUGCCCGCUUUUCGGUCAUUAGACCGUGAGGCCNAGUGAAAACAUUAAGCAUCCCACCUGGGGAGUACNNCGGCAACNNNNAAACUCNAAGGAAUUGACGGGGGCCCGCACAANCNGAGGAACAUGUGGUUUAAUUCGAUGAUACGCGAGGAACCUUACCCGGGCUUGAAUUGCUGGUGAACGAUACAGAGAUGUUGAGGUCUUCGGGACACCAGUGAAGGUGCUGCAUGGUUGUCGUCAGCUCGUG